AUUGAACGCUAGCGGCAGGCCUAACACAUGCAAGUCGAACGAGUGGCGGACGGGUGAGUAAUGUCUGGGAAACUGCCUGGUGGCGGGGGAUAACUACUGGAAACGGUAGCUAAUACCGCAUACCAUCAGAUCUGCCCAGAUGGGAUUAGCUUGUUGGUGGGGUAACGGCUCACCAAGGCGACGAUCCCUAGCUGGUCUGAGAGGAUGACCAGCCACACUGGAACUGAGACACGGCCCAGACUCCUACGGGAGGCAGCAGUGGGGAAUAUUGCACAAUGGGCGAAAGCCUGAUGCAGCCAUGCCGCGUGUAUGAAGAAGGCCUUCGGGUUGUAAAGUACUUUCAGCGGGGAGGCGUUACCUGCAGAAGAAGCACCGGCUAACUCCGUGCCAGCAGCCGCGGUAAUAC
This 406-nucleotide ribosomal RNA is filed under the name uncultured bacterium. RNAcentral describes it as "partial 16S ribosomal RNA". It matches the Rfam family "Bacterial small subunit ribosomal RNA", at positions 30 to 526 of the family's 1533-position model. The record is from RNAcentral.